AGAGUUUGAUCGUGGCUCAGAAUCAACGCUGGCGGCGUGCCUAACACAUGCAAGUCGAACGCGAAAGCCCCGCAAGGGGUAAGUAGAGUGGCAAACGGGUGAGUAACACGUGGGUGACCUGCCUCAGAGUGGGGGAUAACGACCCGAAAGGGUCGCUAAUACCGCAUAACAUCCUGCUUUUGGAUAAGUGGAGAUCAAAGCCGGGGAUCGCAAGACCUGGCGCUUAGAGAGGGGCCCGCGGCCGAUUAGCUAGUUGGUGAGGUAACGGCUCACCAAGGCAACGAUCGGUAUCCGGCCUGAGAGGGCGGACGGACACACUGGGACUGAGACACGGCCCAGACUCCUACGGGAGGCAGCAGUGGGGAAUUGUUCGCAAUGGGCGCAAGCCUGACGACGCAACGCCGCGUGGAGGACGAAGAUCUUCGGGUCGUAAACUCCUUUCGAUCGGGAAGAACGUUUUCGGGGUGAAUAAUCCCGAGAAGUGACGGUACCGAGAGAAGAAGCCCCGGCUAACUCCGUGCCAGCCGCCGCGGUAAG
This 537-nucleotide ribosomal RNA is filed under the name uncultured Acidobacteriota bacterium. Its description in RNAcentral is "bacterial SSU rRNA". It matches the Rfam family "Bacterial small subunit ribosomal RNA", at positions 8 to 524 of the family's 1533-position model. Lineage: Bacteria; Pseudomonadati; Acidobacteriota. The record is from RNAcentral.